UACAGAGGUCUCAAGCGUUGUUCGGAUUCAUUGGGCGUAAAGGGAGCGUAGGUGGCGGGGUAAGUCGGAUGUGAAAUCCCGGGGCUCAACCUCGGAACUGCAUUCGAUACUGCCCUGCUAGAGUACUGGAGAGGAGAUCGGAAUUUACGGUGUAGCAGUGAAAUGCGUAGAUAUCGUAAGGAAGACCAGUGGCGAAGGCGGAUCUCUGGACAGUUACUGACACUGAGGCUCGAAGGCCAGGGGAGCAAACGGG
RNAcentral lists this ribosomal RNA (253 nucleotides) under uncultured Spartobacteria bacterium. RNAcentral describes it as "partial 16S ribosomal RNA". It matches the Rfam family "Bacterial small subunit ribosomal RNA", at positions 524 to 776 of the family's 1533-position model. Lineage: Bacteria; Pseudomonadati; Verrucomicrobiota; Spartobacteria. The record is from RNAcentral.